RNAcentral lists this ribosomal RNA (252 nucleotides) under uncultured bacterium. RNAcentral describes it as "partial 16S ribosomal RNA". It matches the Rfam family "Bacterial small subunit ribosomal RNA", at positions 524 to 776 of the family's 1533-position model. The record is from RNAcentral.
GACAGAGGGUGCGAGCGUUGUCCGGAUUUAUUGGGCGUAAAACGUCUGUAGUCGGUUUAUUAAGUCUGUGGUUAAAGAGUUCAGCUCAACUGAAUAGUGCCAUAGAUACUGAUGAACUAGAGUGUGUCAGGGGUUAGUGGAAUUCCCAGUGUAGCGGUGAAAUGCGUAGAUAUUGGGAGGAACUCCGGUGGCGAAGGCGACUAACUGGGGCACAACUGACGAUGAGAGACGAAAGCGUGGGUAGCAAAAAGG